UCUAGCAAUGAUGAUGCUCUUGCCCUCACUGAGAACGUGGUUCUAUAAUGAGAGUUUUUUUGUAAAUUGCUCUGAGCCAGA
Elgaria multicarinata webbii is the source of this 81-nucleotide small nucleolar RNA. RefSeq annotates it as small nucleolar RNA SNORD103/SNORD85. The transcript has a single exon. The record is from RefSeq and is a predicted model, not a curated record. NCBI's taxonomy places the organism in Eukaryota, Metazoa, Chordata, Lepidosauria, Squamata, Anguidae.